RNAcentral lists this long non-coding RNA (4952 nucleotides) under Sus scrofa (pig). RNAcentral describes it as "lncRNA (ENSSSCG00000055732.1, ENSSSCG00175001340.1)". The record is from RNAcentral. Lineage: Eukaryota; Metazoa; Chordata; Mammalia; Artiodactyla; Suidae.
AUGCACUUAAUCAGUUGUAUAAACUCACACAAGUGUAGUUUUGAUUGAAAUCACUAAAUGUUGUUGAACCCCUUCGUAUGGAUCAAACUCUGUAGUUGGGACUGUAGGCUUGCUUUCUUUCAUCUUUAAACUAUCCCUCAAAAUGUCAGCAUUAGCUAGGAGCCUGUUAGAAGUGCACAAUCUAAGAGCAACUAAAUUGGUAUCUGCAUUUUAACAUAAUCCCCAAGUGAUCUGUAAACACGUUAAAAUUUGAGACACAAUGGUCUAGAGCAAAGGUUCUCAAACUUCAGCUUAAUCACAUCCAUCUGGAUGGUUUAUUAUGGGGUCUGCCUUGAAGAACCUCUGGUUUAGAGGAUACAAAAGAGGUCUUUGCCUUUGAGCAUUUUAUAACAUACCUGAGAAGCGAAUUGAGAUGCAUUGGAUCAUUAAAGAGUUGAGUGCUAAUCUGUGUGAGUUCGAGUUUAAGGCAGUUGAGAAAGCAAAGAUGAAUGUGGAGUUGAGUUGUCAGGAAAAGAAAGGUCCAUUGCCUGGGAAAGGUGGUACCACUGAUGAAAUUGAGAAAGGUGGAAAAUAUAACCAAUUUUUAAGAAAAUAUAAUAUGUUUCAUCACAGAUAUACUGAGCUAUAGAGACUGAUGGACCAAAAGAAAACUCAUACUACUCAUGCUGCAAAUGCAUGAUUCUAGCUCAAGAUAAGAAUUAAAAGACUGUUCACAUCUGGAGGGCAGGAAGCUUACCUUAUUCUUCCAUCCCCAGUGCUAGUGGUAUACCUGGCACGCAACUUUUUGCUGGCUUAAUGAAUAAAUGAAUUUAGAUGUGCUCCUUAAAGCCAUGAUGACCAUUCACAAAUGUUCCCACUAGGUGUAUUUAGUCUUUGACAGGAGAAAACAGGAAUAAUCAGAAAGCUUGAGCCAAAACUAUAAAUCUUUAAUAGUGGAUUUUCCAGCCCAGAGGAAGCCCAGAAGAAAAAUAUUUUUGGUGGGAAACAUUUAACUUCCUCCAUUACCUAUGAAUAAGGCUAUUAUAUAGGGAACUCUAUAUACAUUCAUUCCAUUUUUUUAAUGUUUGUCAUGUGUUUUGCUAGGAGAAAAAUUGUUAGCAAUCUUAAACACUCCCAGAAAAGCUUUUAAAAUGAAUUUGAACCUUAUGAUUUUCCCAUUAUGGUUACUGAAAAGCAUUGGGUGCUACUGCCUAGAAAGUCUCCUUCUCCCAGCCAAGAAAAACCUGCAUAUUGUGGGAAGUUUUAUAGAGAGAAACGUGGUUUCUAGCCAAUUCUUCUAUAACUAUCCAUCACAUCUUUUGAUGUCCAGUCUUUCUCCUUGGAGCCUAGUUUAUAUAAACAAGGUUGAGUUUGCUUUACUGCUACCAUGCUGAAGUUUGUGUCAGAGUCAGUAUGCUCCAUUGCUGUUAAACUAAUUAUUUAUCUUAAGGUAAUAUUUGCUGACUUGGGGGUCUUGGGAUGUGACAUGAUCUUAUAUCCGGUCAUUCAAAGUAACAAAAAAGAUGAUUAAAUAUGUGAUCCAGCUUUCAAUAGAAUAGCAAAAGGGUUAGAGGAAAGAGACAAUCAUAGCACCUUCUCCCCCACUGAAAUAUGAUGGGUGAAUUGUACACACAAAGGGCCAGCUUUUAUGUUAAGCUUUAAUCAAAUGUAUCAUGCUUUAUUAUUUCAUAAGCAUGCUGUAGUAUAUAAAAUAUUUAUGUAAAAUAUUAAUUCAACUUAAACCUCUUUGUGGGGGUUUCUGACUUGGUGAAUGGUUUUCCCCUUUACUCUGUUAUGAUCAGGCAGUUUUCAUACUUAUGAACACAUUAUAUACUCCACCCAUACCUAGAAAUGUCUAUCCCUUCUAUUUCCUACCUUCUGAACUAGAAUCCCCCACUCCUAUUGUUUUGGGAGUCACCAUAAAAAAAAAUCAAUGGGAGUUCCUGUCAUGGCACAGUGGAAAUGAAUCCAACUAGGAACCAUGAGGUUACAGGUUCGAUCCCUGGCCUUGCUCAGUGGGUUAAGGAUCCGGUGUUGCCCUGAGCUCUGGUGUAGGUCACAGACACAGCUCAGAUCUGGUAUUGCUGUGGCUCUGGCAUAGGCCGGCAGCUACAGCUCUGGUUCGACCCUUACCCUGGGAACCUCCAUAUGCCAAGAGUGUGGCCCUCAAAGGACAAAAAGACCAAAAAAAAAAGAAAGGAAGGAAGGAAGAAAUCAAUGACUUUUAAAUAGCUUAUAGGCAAAAGGUGGAAAAGAAUAAAUAAAAGCAGCUUAGAGGAGUUGACCCUGUUUUCCUCAUCAGAAUUACAUUAAUCCUAGAUUCAUUUAGGUUAGAAAAGCAUCUUCUCUUUAAAAUGUGAAUACCAAUUUGAAGGUUGUGUGACUAUUUUCCAAUACAUUUGAGCCUCAUUUGCUUGACCAUAUUGCUUUCCUCUUAAUGAUGGACUGAAUGAAUUGCACUCAGGAUUGGGAGUUUGGACUAUGUUAAGGGAGGCAGAUAACCAUGGAUGGUAUAUAGAGCUAUUGGUGGUGUGGGGGGAUCAGACAUUAAUCUCAUGCUGCAGUGGUACAUUGAGGGUAACAUAGAAGUUCUAAGGAUUGAGGCUAAAUGACAGGAAAGAACUACAGAAAGCAAGAUAAGGAGGUAAGUUCAAAAUUAAAUUUCAAGUUGUUUUGCUAAUCCAAAAAUAGAAAAGAAAUAUUUUUGUCCUUCUUCACAUACCCCAAAGGUCUUUUCUCAGAAUUUUGGUUAGUGUUCAUUAAUAAAAGAAUUACUGUCUUGCCUAUCUUUUGUUAGUAAGUUCUUAGAUGCACAAACAAUCAUUUCAAGCUUGUGUUUCUCAACAACAUGCCUGUUCCCAAUGUAAACUACCUUAGGUGCAAAAAGAUCCCUUUCCACAGUAUUUACAGCUCAUGAGAUUAUGAAAUCAUACACACAAAGGUAGGGAAGAUAUUUGUUUGAGUGCAAACACAGACUUAGAAACUUCAAACCAUCAAUGAUACUAUCACAAUUCUGAUAACUAAGUUGGUGAGACUGGAUUCUAUUGUGAGCUUUCCAUCACUUCCCAAAAGAUCACCAAAAUAGCUGAAGCACUGAAGUAAAAUGAAGUUGCAAACGUCCAAGAAAGAUUAAAAUAUGUUGCAGUGCUAAAUUGAAAACUAAUUCAAGGGAGCGAAGUGUACAUGAGACAUGGUUCCUCCCCAGCUCUCCACCCCAAUCCUUGAAACAUGCUGAACAAAUCAUUUGGCUCAAGAAGUUGUGGUGCUACUCACAAUGGCCUUAUCACCAGGGAAAAAUUAAGGACAAACUUUGUUCUGAAAAUCAGAAGACAUUUUGUACCAUGUUCAAAGUCCUCACUACACUCUGCAGAAUAGAUUGCCUGUGGCUUACUGCCUAUUGCUUAUUGGGUUGAGUUAAAUUGAAAAAACUGGGAAAGCCCAUUGUUGUACUAUUUUAGAGUUAAAAAGAAAGCAAACUAGGAAGCUUCAGUUCAGAGUCUUAGUGUUCAGGAAAUUAGUUGAGAUAUACAUAUUAUAAAUAUAUAUUCAUAUAUAUUAUGUAUUCUAUAAUGUAUAAUGUAUGAAUAUAAUAUGUAUUAUCCAAUCAGGAUAAUAAAUACAACUUUUAAUUACCUGUCUCAGAGACAUAGUUCUGGUUUGAUCAAGCAGCCUUCAAGCCAGACGUAUUAGUCACAUAAUUACUUUAGCCAGAGCCAUUUGAACUGUCCAUGUGAUGGAAAACAAAUGCUUUGAAUGUGAGUCUUUUCUAGUUUUGACAGGAUAGACCAAAUAAUUUUUUUUGAGAAAUGUUUCAUUGUGGGGUAAGGUUAGGCAAUAAGGACCUUGCCAGUUACCCACAUUCACUUUUGGAAAGGCUCUAUGCCCUUUCCAAAGCCAUUUGCUUGCUUUAAUGAAUGCAUAGACUGAAAACAGAUUGAAUACUAAAUCCAGAGAAUAUUAAAUUAUUAUUUAGUGAAGACGUUUGCAGGACACAAAAUUAAACUGUAGCAAUAUUCUACAAGACGAUAUGAUUACAGACAGAGAGAGAGAGAGAGAAUGAUCGAGCUAUUUUAACACUCUUGGGAUUUAAAGUUAACAUAACCAGUUUCAGAAGCAUACAUUUAUGCUUGAGGGUCUAGUGUACCUGAGAACAUGAUACUCCCAUAGGAAUUUAUUUAGCUUCCAAAUGAUCCAUUAAGAAAGUUAUAAAAGUAUAAGAAAUGUCCCCAACUACUGUUUAGCAAGCAAUCUUUUUAGUACUUGUAGGUAAGCCCAAAAGACACUAGUGUAUAACUAUAAUAAAAGUUUUGUGUUCCAGAACUUUUGCCAAGAUCAUUUAUAUCUUAUUUUGUUAACUGUACUUUUCAGAAUUGCCUAGGUUCUUUGCUUUCUGCACCAACUUCCCCCUCCAAAAAUGGAGAGAAACAUCCCCUCUAAGAAGGUUUUCUUCCUUCCAACAAAGAGGCUAACAUUUGUGCAUACAUACAUUCCCUUUUGCCUAAUUCUAAAGAUGUAUAAGAAGAGACCACAAAUUCAUUUACCUGCUAGGAGCCACUAUAUGUAAAACAAAGAUGUUUCAAACUGGCAACAUUUUAACUCAUCUCUGGAUCAUUUUUUAUGUGCAUUCCUUGGAGAUAAUAAGUAAUUGUUCUUUUAAAACAUCUUUGUCAUGAUUAUUAACUAAAUCUUGAACAUCACUUUAGGGUUGUUAGAAGCACAUAAUUAGACCCAACAGUUUCUCAUCAGUCUGGGGAAUCUCAAAGGCUAAGCUAAUUUCUUGUUAUUUAGACUGACUAAAAGUUCCAUCCUAAAGUAAAUCACAAGUCUCUAUUUAAGGCCAAAUGAAAUUCAAAAUUUUACUUAAAAAGAUAUCAAUGAAUGACUUAGUAUUACAUAAUAACAAAUUGCCAAGAAUGUUAUUAUAUGCAUAUAUGGUUUUUAAAAAUCUAUAGCUGAUUCCUUCCUACCGUUUC